Small nuclear RNA from Ochotona princeps (American pika), 102 nucleotides. NCBI's taxonomy places the organism in Eukaryota, Metazoa, Chordata, Mammalia, Lagomorpha, Ochotonidae. The record is from RefSeq and is a predicted model, not a curated record.
UGAAUGAGUGUUCGCUUUGCUAAAACUGGAAUGAUACAAAGAAGAUUAGCAUGGCCCCUGUGCAAGGAUGACACACAAAUUUGUGAAACAUUCCACAUUUUU